RNAcentral lists this ribosomal RNA (253 nucleotides) under uncultured bacterium. RNAcentral describes it as "partial 16S ribosomal RNA". It matches the Rfam family "Bacterial small subunit ribosomal RNA", at positions 524 to 776 of the family's 1533-position model. The record is from RNAcentral.
UACGUAGGUGGCGAGCGUUGUCCGGAAUUACUGGGCGUAAAGGGAGCGUAGGCGGUUUGAUAAGUGGGAUGUGAAAUCCCCGGGCUUAACCUGGGAAUUGCAUUUCAAACUGUUAGACUAGAGUGCGGGAGAGGAAAGUGGAAUUCCAAGUGUAGCGGUGAAAUGCGUAGAGAUUUGGAGGAACACCAGUGGCGAAGGCGACUUUCUGGACCGUAACUGACGCUGAGGCUCGAGAGCGUGGGGAGCAAACAGG